Molecule: long non-coding RNA, 737 nt
Filed under: Carassius auratus (goldfish)
Lineage: Eukaryota; Metazoa; Chordata; Actinopteri; Cypriniformes; Cyprinidae
Description: lncRNA (ENSCARG00000028736.1)
Source: RNAcentral
CCUGACCAUGACAAUCCUGUAUGGAAAGAACAUGUACCUGUACACUGUAAAAAAUUAUUUAGCAGUUUAGUUGUUUCAAUGAAUUUUUUUAUGUUGACACAACUUGCAGUUACUGAAUUUGUUCAUUCAACUAAAAAUUUUAAGUUUUCAGUGUCUCAACUAGUUUGAAAGUUGACUGAACUAGGUCAUUUGUCCUCAUAACUUAAAAAAAUGUGUUGACUCAAUUCAAUAGCAAUAUCACGUUCACAACAUCACUUAUCGCGAGAUCUCGUCAUUCUCGUGAAUGCUGUUGAAGAGAGAAGAAGGUCUAGCCAUUCUAGUCAGUUUCUCCUCAAAGUUUGGACAUUUGACUAGAAUACAACUUUGAUUCAGCACAGAAUUCAAUAAUCCUGUGGAUGGACCACAGCGAGUCCUUUUGCAGUUAUCCAUCAAAAUGCUUUGCAGACAUAAUGGAAAUGACAUUCACAUUGUAGAGCUUGGACGAAGUUCACACAGGCUCUGCGCAGGAAUUCAUCAAGGACAUGACUGCUGGGAUUACACUUGUGGAUGACCAAUCUGAGCACCAUCAGUCUGCAGUGAUGUGAUCCAGCCAUCCAGUGACAUUAAGGAUGUUGAGAAAGAAAUUGAAGAGGGCAUUCUGAUUGUAACUGAGGAGCAGCAAUGUGAUGUGCUUCCCAAGGAAUAACCAACAUUGGUCUCAUUUGGACAUCCUGUCAUCACUGACAUCUCCCAUGUCC